Molecule: long non-coding RNA, 363 nt
Organism: Schistocerca americana (American grasshopper)
Lineage: Eukaryota; Metazoa; Arthropoda; Insecta; Orthoptera; Acrididae
Exons: 4
Source: RefSeq, a predicted model, not a curated record
CAUGAAUCAUAAUGGGGAGCAAGUAAAGCAAAAAGACAAAAAUUGAGGAGAAAAUUUUGGAAAGAAAUAAGAAUUGGACACAGGUUAUGUAAAAUUCUCCAUAGUAAGCUGUUUUCUUCAGCGCAGCAAAGGUAUGAAAAAAGUAACAGAACCGGAUAUGGUACUGAGAGAGAACCCGAUGCUGAGACAAAGCUGGAUGCUGUAUCCCAGUGACGAGCCCUUACGUGAUCAAGGUUCUGCUACCUCUGAGGAAGGCCACUAUCUAAAUGCUCGUUUAUCAGCCUGUCGACUUCUCAAUGUCUCAACUAUAUGGCCUCGGAAGGUACGCUACCGACCAGCUGUCGUGUCAUCCUCAGCUCACAG